Equus caballus (horse) is the source of this 3524-nucleotide long non-coding RNA. NCBI's taxonomy places the organism in Eukaryota, Metazoa, Chordata, Mammalia, Perissodactyla, Equidae. The record is from Ensembl.
GUUGUUAGUAGCUUGCAAAGCCAGAUAUUAUGACACUCAUCUCAGUUGUGCUGAGUCCAAAAGCUGUUUAUAGUGGUAACACUCCCCUGCUCAGAUCCCUCACUCCUCCAGGGAAGGCUGCAUACCUUAGGAUUCAUCUGGGCUGGCUGUGAAGUCCUGUAGCUUGAAGGUGACUUUUUUCUUUCUGGAAGGGAAUUUCUGCCUCUUUCAUUUCAGUCAGCAUUGGCCCUUGUUGUAGGGGCUCUUUUUAUCCAGUUUUCACUUCUCUCGCAGGGGUAAGUAUUCCAAGAAUAGUUGUAAAUUUAUUGUGUCCAUGGGAGGAGGUGAGUUCAGAGUCCACAUACACCACUAUCUUGACACUGUCUUUCCCCACAUCUGUAUUUAAAUCUCCCUCAGAAGCGAUCUGAGGAGGAGAGAGAGAGCGAGGCUUCUCCCUUCCUCUUGCCAUCUGAUCUACUCUCAGUGCCUCCUGUUGGCCUGACAUGGCCAGAAUCCACUGUCACUGGAGCCUGGGAAACAAAGCCUGCAGAGUCAGCCCCCUGAGACAGAAAUCAGAGGAGGGGAAGGUAAAGAAGGGAACUGAAGGCAGAAGGCCCAGGCCUGGGAAAAAGAUACAGACAUACUUGCAUCUUGGUAAUUUCCAUUUAAACAAAACAGAUAACAAAUAUUUUUGUGACUUGGAAUGGGCAACAUCUUGUCUGAUGUGGUUACUUAAAUUUAACAUGUAAUCAAGAACCACCACCCUGCGUGUUAGAACCCAGGGCAUCGAUCAGGCCACAUAUUACCAAAGACAGAUAACUGCACGUGAAGGAGCUCGUGCUCUGACUCCCUCUCCCUUUCCUCUUUCUGGGCGAUCUCUGAGUCAAAGAGUCCUAUUCAGUUUUUUACUGGAGGUAUUUUUAUCCUGCAUGCUUUUGGUUGAGCUGUGUUCCCCCAAAAGAUCUUGAAGUUCCAACCCCCAGGACCUGUGGAUGUGACCUUAUUUGGAAAUACUGUCUUUGCAGAUGAUCAAAUUAGGAUGAGAUAAUUAGGGUGGACCCUAAUCUAAUACAACUGGUGUCCUUAUAAAAAGAGGAAAUUUGGAUAUAGACUCAGACACACACACACACACACACAGGGAAGAUACCUUGUGAACAUCAAGGCAGAGAUCAGAAUGAUACAUCUGUAAGCCAGAAAAUUCCAAAGAUUGCCAGCAAACCACCAGAGACUAGAGGAGAGGCAUGGAACAGUCUCCCGCUCAGCCUCAGAAGGAACCAACCUGGCCAACGCCUUGAUUUCCAACUUCUAGCUCAAGAAGUGGGAGAGAAUACAUUUCUGUGGGUUAACCCAUUCAGUUUGUAGUACUUUGUUGUGACAGCCCUAGCAAACUAAUGCACCACGUUAGAGGUGGAUGUUGGGUACCCAGUCAUCUGUUGACAGAGUGGUGCUUGGGCUCCAAGACUGGAAGUGGUGCAGUGAAGAAGUGGAAGGAGAGGAGGUGUGACUUGCACACCUAUUCUUUCUUCUUCACAGUGCUGCAUAGGAACAGCUCGGCAUCGAGUUGGCCGUUUCCUCUUCCUCCUCUGCCUUCCCUGGUGGCAGGCCUGCAUUUGGCCAUUGCUGACAAUGGCACCAGUGGCAGGGAAAGCCGAUGGCCAGCUCUCUUUGUGAUGGUGUUAAGGACCGGCCUCUGCAGCUGGUCAAGGUCUGGGAGCAGGGGUUUCCUACACGAGCAAGCUUGGCCUCCAACCUUAGGCCUCAGGUUUACCAAGCCUGUCAUUGGAUAGAGGGCAGAGUAAAGAAAACAAUAAGCUGCUGGUAUGACAGUCAAUGUUCCACCUUCUGUUCCUGGGACAAUGUUCCAUCACUCUUGAACAUAGCAAAAAAAAAAAAAAAAAAAAAAAAAAAUACAUUGCUAUUCUAGUUUGUUAGUUGGUUUAUUUGAUUCUUGUAUCUAUAGAAUGCCAUCUACUAAAGCCAAAGGAAAGGUCAGCUUUUAGGUUUCAGGUUUAUAUUGGCCAAGUUUCUCAUACAUAAUAUGUUGAGGAUUAAUUAUAUACCUCUCAGAAGGUUACUCAUCAAAUACUGAAGAUUAGCAUCACGUACCUCAGGAGAUGACGCCUAACUGGAAGUACGUGAUGUUGCAUCAUGUGGCAGAUAUAGGACAAUCCUAUCCCCAGAGAACUGACCUGUGUGGAAUUUGGCCUUGGGAUCAAAUAUAUUGCUGACAUACGCUGUGUGUUAUUUCUUACUUGUAAUUGCACAAUGCUCUGUUGCUGUUAACUCUGCACAUUUUGGCCUAUGGCGAUUUGAGAGGAAGUAGAACUUUAACCUCCAAGUACUGAGAUGUGAAAUGUGUGUCACUGACGUCAGGGAAGGUGACAGGACAAAGGCUCUGGGGUCUUGGACUAAGGAAUAAGAAGUGGAGCCUAGAGCUUUACGAAAACCCUAUUUACUUUCAUGACCAUUUACAGAGAACUAACUCAAUGGGCUCCCUAUAAUUAAUAAUGACUAUCUCUUUUGUUUUCUCUGCAAAAGUAAGAAAGGGAGUAAUUUUCAAAUGUUGUCAGUCUUCAUAUCUUUUAUGCAAAUGAAAAUGUUUCUCUUUUUCUUUGCCUAGAGUGUCCUGGGUGUACUUUCUUUUUGGAACCCUCCACCCCAUUAUUUCUGGUCUCACACGUGGAAUGGAUGCAGGGAGGGUAACAUCAGCCUUUUGAGUUCACAGACCUUAUCACCAGGUGUAGAUGGAGCACAGUUAGAUGCCCUGUCCUGCUUCCCUCGCGCUGCGCCUGUGCCCCAGGAGGAGCAUUGAGCCCUGGGACAAAUAUGUCAUCUCCUGGUGGAGUAUCAGCUUUGCUAAGGUCUUGGGGAAAUAAUAUAAUUUUUAUAUUAAAACACCCAAAUUUAUUGUAGAGCAGAAUAUGUAAUCUGUAUGAUUUUAAAACAUAGAAUAAAAUUGUGCCUAGCUGCUGUUUUCAAAAUGUAAGCAGUAAAAUGUAGUAUUUAGAGUGAAAUCUCUGGACUCAGGCGAACCACUUAAAACCUUGCGAAACCCUGGGCUAGUGACUUACCCUCCUGCCCCCUCAGUCUCCUCCUCUAUAACAUGGGCCUAAUAAUCGUAUCCCUCACAGAGUUGGUGCGAACAUUGACGGUGCUGAGCUUGAUGUCUGGCACAUAACGAACACACAAACAUCAGCUAUGGUGCUGCUCAUGAGGACCCGCUCAGAGCCUGGGAGGACGUUGUGAAGACACGUAGCGGGCUGAGAAGACAGGAAGUUGAACAGUUUUUACUGCUUCAUCACAGACAUGCUAGUGUGAACCUUUCUUCCCUUCUUACUGUGCCUGUGGAGGUACAGACCACGAUGACCACCAGUAAGUUGGGGCCACUGCCUCGAUGCACGGAAGGCCCCACGCUGCUACUCCGCUUUGCUUUCACCCCGUCGGGGCAACAGCGGUACAACCAGGAGGCGAAUAAGGUGUCAGGCUUCUGCUGAGACUGGUCUCGACCGCUCCUUGAAAGUGUUUGGGAGACAGCCAGAGGUGGC